AGGUCUUGACAUCCCGACGACCGCUCUAGAGAUAGAGUUUUUCUUCGGAACGUCGGUGACAGGUGGUGCAUGGUUGUCGUCAGCUCGUGUCGUGAGAUGUUGGGUUAAGUCCCGCAACGAGCGCAACCCCUAUAACUAGUUGCCAGCAUUAAGAUGGGGACUCUAGUUAGACUGCCGGUGACAAACCGGAGGAAGGUGGGGAUGACGUCAAAUCAUCAUGCCCCUUAUGACCUGGGCUACACACGUGCUACAAUGGAUGGUACAACGAGCAGCGAACUCGCGAGGGUAAGCGAAUCUCUAAAAGCCAUUCUCAGUUCGGAUUGUAGUCUGCAACUCGACUACAUGAAGCCGGAAUCGCUAGUAAUCGCGGAUCAGCACGCCGCGGUGAAUACGUUCCCGGGUC
This 403-nucleotide ribosomal RNA is filed under the name uncultured bacterium. RNAcentral describes it as "bacterial SSU rRNA". It matches the Rfam family "Bacterial small subunit ribosomal RNA", at positions 976 to 1380 of the family's 1533-position model. The record is from RNAcentral.